RNAcentral lists this ribosomal RNA (447 nucleotides) under uncultured bacterium. RNAcentral describes it as "bacterial SSU rRNA". It matches the Rfam family "Bacterial small subunit ribosomal RNA", at positions 329 to 793 of the family's 1533-position model. The record is from RNAcentral.
UGCCAGACUCCUACGGGAGGCAGCAGUGGGGAAUAUUGCACAAUGGGGGAAACCCUGAUGCAGCAACGCCGCGUGAGUGAAGAAGUAUUUCGGUAUGUAAAGCUCUAUCAGCAGGGAAGAAGAUGACGGUACCUGAUUAAGAAGCCCCGGCUAACUACGUGCCAGCAGCCGCGGUAAUACGUAGGGGGCAAGCGUUAUCCGGAUUUACUGGGUGUAAAGGGAGCGUAGACGGCGAUGCAAGCCAGAUGUGAAAGCCCGGGGCUCAACCCCGGGACUGCAUUUGGAACUGUGUGGCUGGAGUGUCGGAGAGGCAGGCGGAAUUCCUAGUGUAGCGGUGAAAUGCGUAGAUAUUAGGAGGAACACCAGUGGCGAAGGCGGCCUGCUGGACGAUGACUGACGUUGAGGCUCGAAAGCGUGGGGAGCAAACAGGAUUAGAUACCCGAGUAC